Molecule: ribosomal RNA, 305 nt
Filed under: uncultured bacterium
Lineage: Bacteria
Description: bacterial SSU rRNA
Rfam family: Bacterial small subunit ribosomal RNA
Source: RNAcentral
UUCCUACGGGGGGCAGCAGUGGGGAAUAUUGCACAAUGGGGGAAACCCUGAUGCAGCAACGCCGCGUGGGUGAAGGAGCGUUUCGGCGCGUAAAGCCCUGUCAGCGGGGAAGAAGAAAGACGGUACCCGACCAAGAAGCCCCGGCUAACUACGUGCCAGCAGCCGCGGUAAUACGUAGGGGGCGGGCGUUAUCCGGAAUUACUGGGGGUAAAGGGAGCGUAGACGGCGAGGUAAGCCUGAAGUGGAAGCCCGCGGCCCAACCGCGGAACUGCUUUGGGAACUGGAGGACGGGAGAGCAGGGGAGG